UGUCCGUGCAGCGUGGCAGCGCGCGCAGU
Molecule: small RNA, 29 nt
Filed under: Bombyx mori (domestic silkworm)
Lineage: Eukaryota; Metazoa; Arthropoda; Insecta; Lepidoptera; Bombycidae
Description: ovarian small RNA-9009
Source: RNAcentral